GACAGAGGGGGCAAGCGUUGCUCGGAAUUACUGGGCGUAAAGGGCGCGUAGGCGGGAUGGCAAGUCGGUCGUGAAAUCCUUCGGCUCAACCGAAGAACGUCGAUCGAUACUGCUGUUCUUGAGGGUUGCAGAGGAGACUGGAAUUCCCGGUGUAGCGGUGAAAUGCGCAGAUAUCGGGAGGAACACCGGUGGCGAAGGCGGUUCUCUGGGCCUUACCUGACGCUGAGGAGCGAAAGCUAGGGGAGCAAACGGG
Molecule: ribosomal RNA, 253 nt
Filed under: uncultured bacterium
Lineage: Bacteria
Description: partial 16S ribosomal RNA
Rfam family: Bacterial small subunit ribosomal RNA
Source: RNAcentral